AACGCUAGCUACAGGCUUAACACAUGCAAGUCCAGGGGCAGCAUUUUAGUUUGCUUGCAAACUAAAGAUGGCGACCGGCGCACGGGUGAGUAACACGUAUCCAACCUGCCGAUAACUCUGGGAUAGCCUUUCGAAAGAAAGAUUAAUACCGGAUGGCAUAGGAUUAUCGCAUGAUAAUCCUAUUAAAGAAUUUCGGUUAUCGAUGGGGAUGCGUUCCAUUAGGCAGUUGGUGAGGUAACGGCUCACCAAACCUUCGAUGGAUAGGGGUUCUGAGAGGAAGGUCCCCCACAUUGGAACUGAGACACGGUCCAAACUCCUACGGGAGGCAGCAGUGAGUUUUAUUGGUCAAUGGACGGGAGUCUGAACCAGCCAAGUAGCGUGAAGGAUGACUGCCCUAUGGCCCGCAAACUUCUUUUAUACGGGAAUAAAGUGGUCCACGUGUGGAUUUUUGUAUGUACCGUAUGAAUAAGGAUCGGCUAACUCCGUGCCAGCAGCCGCGGUAAUACGGAGGAUCCGAGCGUUAUCCGGAUUUAUUGGGUUUAAAGGGAGCGUAGGUGGAUUGUUAAGUCAGUUGUGAAAGUUUGCGGCUCAACCGUAAAAUUGCAGUUGAUACUGGCAGUCUUGAGUACAGUAGAGGUGGGCGGAAUUCGUGGUGUAGCGGUGAAAUGCUUAGAUAUCACGAAGAACUCCGAUUG
RNAcentral lists this ribosomal RNA (695 nucleotides) under uncultured Bacteroidales bacterium. RNAcentral describes it as "bacterial SSU rRNA". It matches the Rfam family "Bacterial small subunit ribosomal RNA", at positions 32 to 715 of the family's 1533-position model. The record is from RNAcentral. Lineage: Bacteria; Pseudomonadati; Bacteroidota; Bacteroidia; Bacteroidales.